Molecule: ribosomal RNA, 460 nt
Filed under: uncultured bacterium
Lineage: Bacteria
Description: partial 16S ribosomal RNA
Rfam family: Bacterial small subunit ribosomal RNA
Source: RNAcentral
CCUACGGGUGGCAGCAGUGGGGAAUAUUGGUCAAUGGACGAGACUCUGAACCAGCCACGCAGCGUGAAGGAUGACUGCCCUCUGGUUUGUAAACUUCUUUUAUAUGGGAAUAAAAUGUUCCACGUGUGGGAUUUUGUAUGUACCAUAUGAUUCAGGAUCGGCUAACUCCGUGCCAGCAGCCGCGGUAAUACGGAGGAUCCGAGCGUUAUCCGGAUUUAUUGGGUUUAAAGGGAGCGUAGGUGGAUUGUUAAGUCAGUUGUGAAAGUUUGCGGCUCAACCGUAAAAUUGCAGUUGAAACUGGCAGUCUUGAGUACAGGAGAGGUGGGCGGAAUUCGUGGUGUAGCGGUGAAAUGCUUAGAUAUCACGAAGAACUCUGAUUGCGAAGGCAGUUCACUGGACUGCAACUGACACUGAGGCUCGAAAGUGUGGGUAUCAAACAGGAUUAGAUACCCGAGUAGUC